GACGAACGCUGGCGGCGUGCUUAACACAUGCAAGUCGAACGGAAGGGCCCUGCUUUUGUGGGGUGCUCGAGUGGCGAACGGGUGAGUAACACGUGAGUAACCUGCCCUUGACUUUGGGAUAACUUCAGGAAACUGGGGCUAAUACCGUAUAGGAUCUCCUGCUGCAUGGUGGGGGUUGGAAAUUUUCGGCGGUUGGUGAUGGACUCGCUGCUUUUCAGCUUUUUGGUGGGGUAGUGGCUUACCAAGGCUUUGACGGGUAGCCGGCCUGAGAGGGUGACCGGCCAAAUUGGGACUGAGAUACGGCCCAGACUCCAACGGGAGGCAGCAGUGGGGAAUAUUGCAAAAUGGGCGGAAGCCUGAUGAAGAAACGCCGCGUGCGGGAUGACAGCCUUCGGGUUGUAAACAGAUUUCGCAUGUGACGAAGCGUGAGUGACGGUAAUGGGUAAAGAAGCACCGGCUAACUACGUG
This 468-nucleotide ribosomal RNA is filed under the name uncultured bacterium. RNAcentral's name for it is "partial 16S ribosomal RNA". It matches the Rfam family "Bacterial small subunit ribosomal RNA", at positions 28 to 507 of the family's 1533-position model. The record is from RNAcentral.